GACGAACGCUGGCGGCGUGCCUAAUACAUGCAAGUAGAACGCUGAAGAGAGGAGCUUACUCUUCUUGGAUGAGUUGCGAACGGGUGAGUAACGCGUAGGUAACCUGCCUUGUAGCGGGGGAUAACUAUUGGAAACGAUAGCUAAUACCGCAUAACAAUGGAUGACACAUGUCAUUUAUUUGAAAGGGGCAAUUGCUCCACUACAAGAUGGACCUGCGUUGUAUUAGCUAGUAGGUGAGGUAAUGGCUCACCUAGGCGACGAUACAUAGCCGACCUGAGAGGGUGAUCGGCCACACUGGGACUGGGAAACGGCCCAGACUCCUACGGGAGGCAGCAGUAGGGAAUCUUCGGCAAUGGGGGCAACCCUGACCGAGCAACGCCGCGUGAGUGAAGAAGGUUUUCGGAUCGUAAAGCUCUGUUGUAAGUCAAGAAAGGGUGUGAGAGUGGAAAGUUCACACUGUGACGGUAGCUUACCAGAAAGGGACGGCUAACUACGUG
RNAcentral lists this ribosomal RNA (497 nucleotides) under uncultured bacterium. RNAcentral describes it as "partial 16S ribosomal RNA". It matches the Rfam family "Bacterial small subunit ribosomal RNA", at positions 28 to 507 of the family's 1533-position model. The record is from RNAcentral.